This 543-nucleotide ribosomal RNA is filed under the name Prosoeca sp. 23 GLT-2023a. RNAcentral's name for it is "partial large subunit ribosomal RNA". It matches the Rfam family "Bacterial large subunit ribosomal RNA", at positions 1801 to 2617 of the family's 2925-position model. Lineage: Eukaryota; Metazoa; Arthropoda; Insecta; Diptera; Nemestrinidae. The record is from RNAcentral.
UGUUUAUCAAAAACAUGUCUUUUAGAAUUGAAUUUAAAGUCGGGCCUGCCCACUGAAUAAUUGAAUGGCCGCAGUAUUUUAACUGUGCAAAGGUAGCAUAAUCAUUAGUCUUUUAAUUGAAGGCUCGUAUGAAUGGUUGGACAAGAUAUAUAUUGUUUCAUAUAAAUUUAUAGAAUUUUAUUUUUUAGUUAAAAAGCUAAAAUUUAAUUAAAAGACGAGAAGACCCUAUAGAUCUUUAUAAUUAUUAAAUUUUAUUUAUUAAGAAUAUUUUAUAUUUGAUUUAUAUAAUUAUUUUAUUGGGGUGAUAGUAAGAUUAAUUUAACUCUUAUGUAGCUAAACCAUAAAUUAAUGAUUAAGUUGAUCCAGUAUUAUUGAUUAGUAAAAUAAGUUACCUUAGGGAUAACAGCGUAAUUUUUUUAGAGAGUUCAUAUCGAUAAAAAAGAUUGCGACCUCGAUGUUGGAUUAAGAGAUAAGUUUGGGCGCAGCCGUUCAAAUUUAAAGUCUGUUCGACUUUUUAAUUCUUACAUGAUCUGAGUUCAAACC